UGGAGAUGGAGAUGGAGAUGGAGAAAGAGAAAAAGAAAGGAUAGAAAUGGGUGAGAAUAAGAUGAGCAGAGAAUAUGAACGCGAGAGUUGAGAAUUUGAAAGGAAAAAAGAAGAGGUUGAAAGGCAGUUAGGUUAGCCAUGGAGUGCUGGGUAAUGAUGUAAACAGUCUGUUUUUUUUGUCACAGUUGUUCUUCACCCUAAAUAGCCAUAGUCAUCUUAACAAGCAGUUUUCUAGUUGUGC
This 241-nucleotide unclassified non-coding RNA is filed under the name Hevea brasiliensis (rubber tree). Lineage: Eukaryota; Viridiplantae; Streptophyta; Magnoliopsida; Malpighiales; Euphorbiaceae. The record is from RNAcentral.